Long non-coding RNA from Daucus carota subsp. sativus, 1189 nucleotides. RefSeq lists it as uncharacterized. The record is from RefSeq and is a predicted model, not a curated record. The transcript has 3 exons. NCBI's taxonomy places the organism in Eukaryota, Viridiplantae, Streptophyta, Magnoliopsida, Apiales, Apiaceae.
UAAAAAAAUAAGGUAUGCUUCUCGUAAAGCCAGGGCUGACACCAGAAAACGCGUGAAAGGAAGAUUUGUGAAGACUGGCGAAGCAUAUGACUACGACCCUCAGACCCCCUUUGAACUAGAACCUGAUAAAUGAAAGCUUUCUUAUCUUCUAGUUCACUGCAAGAUGAAUAUCAUUGUGGCAGUGGCUAUGAUAAUAUUUCAAUUGUGUCCCGGACACAGGAGCAACACUUGAGUCUUUUUUCCAGCCGUUACCAAAUGUCCUCUUGACAGGCGAGUUGAUGCGGUCUUGGAGAGUGCUUCUACAAUUAAUAAUAUGGAGCAUGAUACUACUUUAGCAGUGAUGAUAUUUUGCCAGGAUUUUCUAGUUCCUAAUAACUGAUUUGCUGUCAUGUCGUGGCGCGAUGCUUCUUCUGUUGCUGUUUUACUAUAUGAAAGGAGGGUUUUGAUGCUCUUUCUAAUCAGAAUCUAGGCAAACAGUCUGACAAUCUCUUGUUAUGCACACAAAAAAUUAGUAAGAACUCACAAGUUCGAAUCAUUUAUCAAAUCUCUCUUGAACUCAAACAGAGCUAUUGUUCUUUUUAAUGAUUCAUAUAUUUUUAAGUAUAGAAAAUUCUUGAUUGUCAAAAGCUAUAGAUAUUCAAUAACAUUAUUACAAAGACGUGAAUGCCUGAGUAUUUAAAUUUCUGCAACUGACCUACAAAAAAUUAAAGAAACAGGAAAGGUCUAAUGAGUUGAUUUCUGUGGUCCGAUUCAACCACAUUUGAUAUAUCAUCAGGGCCGUUUCUGUCACCCCCUUUUGUGCAAACAAUGGUGGGGAGUAUCACUUGAACAGAAGCUCCAAUAAGAUAUCGAUGAGUUAGUGCGUGGCAAUCAGUGCAGAGAAAGCAUCUUAUAUGCCUCAGGGCAAGAAAAUUAGCAGCAUGAACCCUUGCAUCACAAUUUUGGCACAGGAACGCGUCGUCGGCUUGACAGUACACAGAGGCUUCUGAAUCACAAAGCUCACAAAGAAAGGGUGGUGAGAGUUGAGAGCUCUGAUUGUGAUCUUCCUUGCACACACAGGCCUCUCUUAGGCUGGGUAAGCACUCAUUCUUUCUGUCUUCUACUCUUCCCAGGCACAUAUUGUUAUAUUUCUUGUGUGUGAAUGUGUAAUGUAUGAUAUUGGUGAUGAAUGUUACUUCAAGGAGGAUGA